GGGACACUAAGGUUGGGCUUGGAGUUUUUGUUCGAGAGGAGAUGAAGAGAGAAGAUGCUGUGGAGAACCAGUCGUAGCAUAGGAUCCGGUGGGAGACCCAUUUGUUCAAGAUGGAUUGCGAGUGACGUUCGGAAGGUGGUGUGUGCUUUCACAUUGACCGAGGGCCCAGAGCAUGAGUGACAGAGAAGUUCAAGGAAAACACAUUUCUGUUGAAAGGGAACCGACAGGCUGCAGCUCAAGCUGACCUGAAAGGGAGACUUCAAGGUGGUGCACAAGUGACCUGAAAGGGCGAUGGCCAAGAGGACCUGAAAGGGAUCAUGGCACUUGAGAUUGGACUUAAGCAAUAAGUGAUUGAUAGUGAUUGUUAAUCCAUAAUGAAAAUGGCAGAAGAAAACCAAACGAAAAAGAAGUAUUGUGGAUAACCUGAAAUUGGAUUUAUACCAGCACCAAGCAAACAACUGCAGCCCAUGUAUCUGUUGUGUGACAAAUGAGGCCGUGAAACCACCCAGGCUCCUUGAAAAUUUGAAGAGCAUACACUCUGCUAACUGAAACAAGAACUUGGCUACUUUUCAGUCACUUGCUGAAAAACUUCAGAAAUGGUAAACACUUCAAAAUAUGUUCAAACACUUCACAACAAAACAGUCAUGCUUUGCGUGCUUCAUACAGAACUUCAUUGCUCAUUGCUGAAUCUGGAAGCCCCAUACAAUUGGGGAAGAACUGGCUCUGUCAGUAGUAGACUUAUGAAUAAGUCACCAGACUAAGUAACUAAAAUGAUUCCAUUCAGUGAUAACUCUGUUCAAAGAUGAAUAAAUGAAAUAUCUGAGAAUGCGGAAGACACAUUGUUCAACAUACUUCUGAAAAUAGAAUUUUCUCUGCAGUUGGAUGAGUCAACUUUGCUAGACAAUCAGUUUUUGCUUCGUGCUUAUGUUUGCUUCAUAAAAGAUGAAAGUAUGGUUCAAGAGUUGUUAUACAAGCGGAGUAGAAACAGAUACAAAGACAGAGUCAUUAUUUCGGGUUGUUGAGCAAUUUGUCAAAGUGAAGGUCAUUCCACUCAGCAACAUUCUUGUUUGUGCAACAGAUGUGGCACCAUGAAUGACAGGACACCACUGUAGGGUUAUUAAUUGUCUCCACAUUUCUGCUCAAGUUAACCCUAUUUCAGUGCAACCUUAGCAGGCACUAUCUUUUCCAAUUUACAAUUCUCUCCGAGUUGGAAGCGAAAGAAAGAAUAUUAUCUGAUGAUGUUCAAGUAUAUCGUGCACACCUGUGUGAGCUGCAGAAAGAGAUGGCAGAGAGAUUUCAGGAUCUUCUCUCAAUCCAGAUUCCGGAUUUGGUAAUAAAUCCAUUCCUGAACACUUGCAAUGAGGAAUUAUCAGGAAGGUGCAGUAAGAACUGCUCUUGCCACAAAUUGACUUUGAGCUUCAAAAAAUCAUAUCAAGACUUUUAGUUGCAGAAAGAAAUCUUUUAACACUAUCCUGCACUGUGGAAAAAGGUUGAGAUACUCUUGUCUUUCCAACAUCAAAUGUAGUGGAGCACAGUUUCUGUGCAGUUGCCUAACUUCUUUCAAAAGAAUGAAACAGACUGCAAAUCACUCAAUAUGGGUAUCUGAGAGUCCUUCUAAAUGAUGUUCAGCCUGAUUUUGAGAAGCUAUUAUCACUACACCAAGCCCAUCUAUCUCAUUGAAAGGUGAAAACAACAAUGAAGUAGUGAAUAGUUGGACUACUAAAGAAUACUCUAAAAUUGUUGAUGAUUGUUUUCUCUGUAAUUAAAUAACAAAAUAAUUUUAUUUGUAACUUUAUUAAAUAGAUUUGAAUAAUGUUUGCAAUUAUUUGUCACUGCUUUGAAAUUGCAGUUCCUAUUUUCUUUCACUGUGCAUCGUGAAUCAAAAUUCUUCAUUAGGUAAUGGCCAGAAAAGUAGAGGGAUGGCCUGCAGAAAUGGUCUCAGAGCCAAUGGGGUGGUAACCCAAAAAGUUUGGGAAGCACUGUUAUAAAUAAAAAUGUUCCAAUAAGGCAACUGACAUAACUUGUGUUGUGUCAUAAAUGCUUCAUUCACCACGUGAACUGUGUAGGAAAGCUAUGGAAUAAGUAUUGGUGAACACUGUCUACAAUGCAAUGUUUUAAUAAAUACUGCAGUGCUUCUUCACAUUUUAGUGCUAUCCCAUUAAGACCAAUGUAAGAAAAUUUUCUCACAAAAUACUCUCAACCUUCUACUGAGGGGGCAGGCAAACUUCUCACAGAGGUUGCUGAAGCUGUUAGUGUGCCAGCAAGCCAGGUUCAAUUCUGCUGCUGACUGCAAGGAAUUUGUAUAUUCUCCCUGUGACUGCGUGGGUUUCCUCUGGGUGUUCAGUUUCCUCCCACAUCCCAAAAAUGUACAGGUUAAUAGGUUAAUUAGUUACAUGGGUGUAAUUGGAAGGCACAGGAUCAUUGGGCGGGAAGAGCCUAUUACCUGGCUGUUAGUCUUGCAAGACCAUGGACCUGCACCUGGAAAGUCUUCACUCUCCGGGGCACAGGCCUGGGCAAGGUUGUGGGCAAGGUUGUAUUGAAGACCGGCAGUUGCCCAUGCUGCAAGUCUCCCCUCUCCAUGACACUGAUGUUGUCCAAGGGAAGUGCAAGGGCCGAUACAGCUUGGCACCAGUGUCAUUACAGAGCACUGUAUGGUUAUGUGCCUUGCUCAAUGACACAACAUGCUGCCUCGGCUGGGGCUUGAAUUCACAACCUUCAGAUCGCUAGUUGAAUGCCUUAACCACUUGGCCACGUGCCCAUACUACCUUACUGUACCUCUUAAUAAAUAAAUGCCUUAUAUGUUCACAUUUUCUUAGCGACCUUACAAUAUGAGCGAGAUUGCUGUAAGAUCAAGAUCACUUCCACAAAACACU
Molecule: long non-coding RNA, 2873 nt
Organism: Mobula hypostoma (lesser devil ray)
Lineage: Eukaryota; Metazoa; Chordata; Chondrichthyes; Myliobatiformes; Myliobatidae
Exons: 3
Source: RefSeq, a predicted model, not a curated record